GAUCAUUACAGAGUUACUACUCCAAACCCAUUGUGAACCUUACCUAUGUUCUGUUGCCUCGGCGGCGUGGUCAGCGCCCCCUCUGAAAAGAGGACGAUGCCCUCCCGCCGGCAGCACCAAACUCUUUGAAUUUUACAGCGGAUUACAGUUCUGAUUUGAAAACAAAAAACAAGUUAAAACUUUCAACAACGGAUCUCUUGGUUCUGGCAUCGAUGAAGAACGCAGCGAAAUGCGAUAAGUAAUGUGAAUUGCAGAAUUCAGUGAAUCAUCGAAUCUUUGAACGCACAUUGCGCCCGGCAGUAAUCUGCCGGGCAUGCCUGUCCGAGCGUCAUUUCAACCCUCGAACCUCCGUUUCCUCAGGGAAGCUCAGGGUCGGUGUUGGGGCGCUACGGCGAGUCUUCGCGACCCUCCGUAGGCCCUGAAAUACAGUGGCGGUCCCGCCGCGGUUGCCUUCUGCGUAGUAAGUCUCUUUUGCAAGCUCGCAUUGGGUCCCGGCGGAGGCCUGCCGUCAAACCACCUAUAACUCCAGAUGGUUUGACCUCGGAUCAGGUAGGGUUACCCGCUGAACUUAAGCAUAUCA
This 580-nucleotide unclassified non-coding RNA is filed under the name Scedosporium boydii. RNAcentral's name for it is "sequence contains 18S rRNA gene, ITS1, 5.8S rRNA gene, ITS2, 28S rRNA gene". The stretch from base 178 to 331 matches the Rfam family "5.8S ribosomal RNA". The record is from RNAcentral. Lineage: Eukaryota; Fungi; Ascomycota; Sordariomycetes; Microascales; Microascaceae.